RNAcentral lists this ribosomal RNA (684 nucleotides) under Streptomyces sp. Its description in RNAcentral is "bacterial SSU rRNA". It matches the Rfam family "Bacterial small subunit ribosomal RNA", at positions 22 to 723 of the family's 1533-position model. The record is from RNAcentral. Lineage: Bacteria; Bacillati; Actinomycetota; Actinomycetes; Kitasatosporales; Streptomycetaceae.
GCUCAGGACGAACGCUGGCGGCGUGCUUAACACAUGCAAGUCGAACGAUGAAGCCCUUCGGGGUGGAUUAGUGGCGAACGGGUGAGUAACACGUGGGCAAUCUGCCCUUCACUCUGGGACAAGCCCUGGAAACGGGGUCUAAUACCGGAUAACACUCUGUCCCGCAUGGGACGGGGUUAAAAGCUCCGGCGGUGAAGGAUGAGCCCGCGGCCUAUCAGCUUGUUGGUGGGGUAAUGGCCUACCAAGGCGACGACGGGUAGCCGGCCUGAGAGGGCGACCGGCCACACUGGGACUGAGACACGGCCCAGACUCCUACGGGAGGCAGCAGUGGGGAAUAUUGCACAAUGGGCGAAAGCCUGAUGCAGCGACGCCGCGUGAGGGAUGACGGCCUUCGGGUUGUAAACCUCUUUCAGCAGGGAAGAAGCGAAAGUCACGGUACCUGCAGAAGAAGCGCCGGCUAACUACGUGCCAGCAGCCGCGGUAAUACGUAGGGCGCAAGCGUUGUCCGGAAUUAUUGGGCGUAAAGAGCUCGUAGGCGGCUUGUCACGUCGGAUGUGAAAGCCCGGGGCUUAACCCCGGGUCUGCAUUCGAUACGGGCUAGCUAGAGUGUGGUAGGGGAGAUCGGAAUUCCUGGUGUAGCGGUGAAAUGCGCAGAUAUCAGGAGCAACACCGGCGGCGAAGGCG